CUUCCCUUGGGGGUUCCUAAAAAUAAAGAUAAAAAGAACAGUAUCAGGGACUGUGGCUGGGGCUCAAUGGUAGAGCGCUUGCCUUGCAUGCAUGAGGCACUGGGUUGGAUCCUCAGAACCACAUACAAAUAAAUAAAGAUAGUGUGUCUCUCUACAACUAAAAAAAAUUAUUAUUAAAGAAAAGGACAGUAUGAUUUAUUUCUGGCUGUAUAAAUAGAAGUGCAUUUUAAUUUUGUUCAUAAAUACAAACUUCUGACACUAAUAUCUAAGAAAAGAUCGUUAGAUCUUUUGAUAAUCAAUAGUAUUCUCAGCAGCAGUUGUAUAGAAUAUACAAAAAAAAAAAAGAACAUGAACAGAAUGUUCUCUUGUGGCUGCUUCUUAUCUUCCCACAGUAGAAGCUAGGGUUGCCGUGUUACAUUAUAAUUCAGGGAAGGCAUCUCAAUGAGUUUCACAGGCGCCAAGGUAGGGGUAGGGUAGAUAGAAAAGACAGGCUUCUGGCUUAGUAGCUUGGCUGUGUGUCCUUAAGAAAGUCACCUCAUUUCUCUGAGCCACAACUUUCUCAUCUAUAAAUAGGACUAAUGCUUAAAUUAGAGGAUUUCUUAGAGAAUUAAAUGAAUUAAAGUGCCUAUUGUAUACCUGGUACAUUGUAUGUUUCUUUCUUUUUCCUGAGCUAAUGGUGUAUGCUGCUUUUGGUUAUUUGAGGACAGAACUGGGAAAAUGGAAGGAAAAUAUAUUCUUCGAGGAUGGAACCCAGGGGCACUUUACAACUGAGCUAACAUCCAUGGCCCUUUUUACUUUUUUGAGACAGAAUCUUGCUCAGUGGCCCAGGUUGACCUCAAACUUGAGAUCCUUCUGCCUCAGCCUCCCCAGUCACUGGGAUUGCAGGCAUACACCACCCACCCUGCCAGGCUCACCUUAAAGGCAAGAAAAUAC
Molecule: long non-coding RNA, 933 nt
Filed under: Marmota monax (woodchuck)
Lineage: Eukaryota; Metazoa; Chordata; Mammalia; Rodentia; Sciuridae
Rfam family: tRNA (bases 53-123)
Source: RNAcentral